Molecule: ribosomal RNA, 433 nt
Filed under: uncultured bacterium
Lineage: Bacteria
Description: partial 16S ribosomal RNA
Rfam family: Bacterial small subunit ribosomal RNA
Source: RNAcentral
AACGAACGCUGGCGGCAUGCCUAACACAUGCAAGUCGAACGAGACCUUCGGGUCUAGUGGCGCACGGGUGCGUAACGCGUGGGAACCUGCCCUUAGGUUCGGAAUAACUCCCCGAAAGGGGUGCUAAUACCGGAUAAUGUCUUCGGACCAAAGAUUUAUCGCCUUUGGAUGGGCCCGCGUUGGAUUAGCUAGUUGGUAGGGUAAAAGCCUACCAAGGCGACGAUCCAUAGCUGGUCUGAGAGGAUGAUCAGCCACACUGGGACUGAGACACGGCCCAGACUCCUACGGGAUGCAGCAGUAGGGAAUAUUGGACAAUGGGCGAAAGCCUGAUCCAGCAAUGCCGCGUGAGUGAUGAAGGCCUUAGGGUUGUAAAGCUCUUUUACCCGGGAUGAUAAUGACAGUACCGGGAGAAUAAGCUCCGGCUAACUCCGUG